This 468-nucleotide ribosomal RNA is filed under the name uncultured bacterium. Its description in RNAcentral is "partial 16S ribosomal RNA". It matches the Rfam family "Bacterial small subunit ribosomal RNA", at positions 28 to 507 of the family's 1533-position model. The record is from RNAcentral.
GACGAACGCUGGCGGCGUGCUUAACACAUGCAAGUCGAACGGAAAGGCCCUGCUUUUGUGGGGUGCUCGAGUGGCGAACGGGUGAGUAACACGUGAGUAACCUGCCCUUGACUUUGGGAUAACUUCAGGAAACUGGGGCUAAUACCGGAUAGGAGCUCCUGCUGCAUGGUGUGGGUUGGAAAGUUUCGGCGGUUGGGGAUGGACUCGCGGCUUAUCAGCUUGUUGGGGGGGUAGUUGCUUACCAAGGCUUUGACGGGUAGCCGGCCUGAGAGGGUGACCGGCCACAUUGGGACUGAGAUGCGGCCCAGACUCCUACGGGAGGGAGCAGUGGGGAAUAUUGCACUAUGGGCGGAAGCCUGAUGCAGCAACGCCGCGUGCGGGAUGACGGCCUUCGGGUUGUAAACCGCUUUCGCCUGUGACGAAGCGUGAGUGACGGUAAUGGGUAAAGAAGCACCGGCUAACUACGUG